This 385-nucleotide ribosomal RNA is filed under the name uncultured bacterium. RNAcentral describes it as "bacterial SSU rRNA". It matches the Rfam family "Bacterial small subunit ribosomal RNA", at positions 29 to 416 of the family's 1533-position model. The record is from RNAcentral.
AGCGAACGUUUGCGGCGGGCCUAACACAUGCAAGUCGAACGCACUAGCAAUAGUGAGUGGCGCACGGGUGCGUAACACGUGGGUAAUCAACCCUUCAGCCUGGGAUAACGACUCGAAAGGGUCGCUAAUACCGGAUACGGCGCGAGAGGCUUCGGCUUCUCACGAGAAAGCCACGCAAGGGGGCACUGAAGGACGAGCCUGCGGCCCAUCAGCUAGUUGGUGAGGUAAGAGCUCACCAAGGGCUAAGACGGGUAGCUGGUCUGAGGGGAUGAUCAGCCACACUGGAACUGAGACACGGUCCAGACUCCUACGGGAGGCAGCAGUGGGGAAUAUAGCGCAAUGGGCGAAAGCCUGACGCAGCCACGCCGCGUGAGCGAUGAAGGCC